Molecule: ribosomal RNA, 320 nt
Filed under: uncultured bacterium
Lineage: Bacteria
Description: bacterial SSU rRNA
Rfam family: Bacterial small subunit ribosomal RNA
Source: RNAcentral
AUUGAACGCUGGCGGCAGGCCUAACACAUGCAAGUCGAGCGGUAGAGAGGUGCUUGCAUCUCUUGAGAGCGGCGGACGGGUGAGUAAUGCCUAGGAAUCUGCCCUAGUGGUGGGGGAUAACGUUCGGAAACGGACGCUAAUACCGCAUACGUCCUACGGGAGAAAGCGGGGGAGUCUUCGGACCUCGCGCCAUUAGAUGAGCCUAGGUCGGAUUAGCUAGUUGGUGAGGUAAUGGCUCACCAAGGCGACGAUCCCUAGCUGGUUUGAGAGGAUGAUCAGCCACACUGGAACUGAGACACGGUCCAGACUCCUACGGGAGG